This 172-nucleotide small nuclear RNA is filed under the name Castor canadensis (American beaver). RNAcentral describes it as "U2 spliceosomal RNA (ENSCCNG00000001658.1)". It matches the Rfam family "U2 spliceosomal RNA". Rfam says of the family: U2 is a small nuclear RNA (snRNA) component of the spliceosome (involved in pre-mRNA splicing). Complementary binding between U2 snRNA (in an area lying towards the 5' end but 3' to hairpin I) and the branchpoint sequence (BPS) of the intron results the bulging out of an unpaired adenosine, on the BPS, which initiates a nucleophilic attack at the intronic 5' splice site, thus starting the first of two transesterification reactions that mediate splicing. Lineage: Eukaryota; Metazoa; Chordata; Mammalia; Rodentia; Castoridae. The record is from RNAcentral.
AUCAACUCUCAGCCUUUUAGCUAAGAUCGAGUGUAGUAUCUGUUCUUACCAGUUUAAUAUCUGAUACGUAAUCUAUCCAAAGACAAUAUAGUAAGUGGAGUUUUGGAACUAUAAAAUAGGAGUUUGCUCCAUCCACUCCACUCAUCUGCCUGGGCUGACAGUGGCUCAACAG